RNAcentral lists this long non-coding RNA (1235 nucleotides) under Androctonus crassicauda. Lineage: Eukaryota; Metazoa; Arthropoda; Arachnida; Scorpiones; Buthidae. The record is from RNAcentral.
AUAAAAUUAAAUCUAGUUAAUCUUUCUUUUUUAAUUUUUUAAUAUGAACUAUUUACUUAUAAGUAAAAAACGGGACAAUCCGGGACAUUUUUUUCAAACCGGGACAAAGACUCAAAAACCGGGACGUCUGGUCACGUUCCAUGAGAAUAAUAUAUUAUUAUUUCGUAUGGAUUAUUCAAGUGAAAUACACUGCAAAAUACAAUAUAGUGAAAUUUUGGAGAAGAAAUUCCGAAACUUCUUCCAAAGAAUGUCUGUAAAGAACUUUUUAUAUAUUUAAUAUAAUGAAGUUUCCAGCUAGGUGAUAUAUAAAUGGAUGAAACUAUUCGUUUUCGUAUUAAAUUACGAAUUAUAUGAUGAUUUUAAUAAGUAUGUUCUAUAUUCUUUAGAGUGAAUAUUUGAAAAAUUUAUUUUUAAUCGUUUCCAUUUAUUUAUCUGUACAUUUGUAGCGCAUAGAAUAACGAAAUAUAAAAAAGGGAUUUGUCAACAGUCUAAAUGCGUAUAAAAGGAAGAAUAUCAACUAUUUUAGGACAGACUAUCUAUUACACUGAAAUGUAUAUUAAUUUGUUAGAGUAUAAAUGCUGUAUGCGAAAUUUAUAUUUGAUUAAAGCGUAUACGUAUUACAGAAUGUAGCGGAAUAUAUGAAAGAGAGAAAGACAAACUCUAAGUUGAUAUAAACUGCAUUAGAAUAUGUUGAGAGUAUUAAUUUUGUUUCAGCAGGAAAUUCCGUUUUUGAAUUAUAUGUCUUUCUCUGUUUUAAGUAGUUAUAAUCAUCAUAGAGUGAAUGAUUAGUCACUCGACUCGACUAAUCACUCACUAUAUCGCACCCAAGCUGCAAUACUGCCAUAAAGUCAAUAACAGUAAUUUUACAGGAGAGCCUGUCAAAGUUUUCACACUACAUAAAACCUUCUGUAGCACCUGAGUACCAUCAUGAUUUCAAUAACAUUUAUUUUGCACUACAAUUGUGGCAGUUUUGCAGCAUUCAGAGUUAUGUAUUUACAGUCUGUACAGACAUAAAACUGAAUAUCAUUGUUUUUUGACUUAUGGCAGUAUUGCAGUCUGGGUACGAUAUGAUGAUCAUCAAAUGUAAAGUGCAUCGUAUAUUUCUGUUCACUGUGUAAAGUAGAUAUUCUGUCCAUAAUUUGGAUAAAAUAAUCACAAUUGCUUAAAACAGCUAAGCGUGUAGCCUAAAAUUUUUGAUAACAGUGUUAUUGUGGUAAGCUAAGGUUCUUAUUGAU